UUCUACCCUUGUGAUUAUUUUUCCAUAUGAACUUCAAUAUCAACUUGUCUAGAUCCAAAAACCCAACCAAAAAAACCUACUGUUGUUAUCUCAGUUGGGAUUGCAUUGACUUCAUACGCUAAAUUACCGGAGAAGUGACAUACUGAUGAUAUUGAGGCAUUCUAUCCAAAUGUCUCUGCAUCUGUUCAAGACAUUUUUAUGUUUUUUAGAAAUGUGUUACAGUGUUUUUUUGGUGUGUGUGUUGUUGUUUUUUGUAUCUGAGACAGGGUCUUGCCCUGUCGCCCAAGCUGGAGUGUAAUGGCAUGAAACAGCAUCCUGCAGCCUCAACUUCCUGGGCUCAAGCAACCCUCCUGCCUCAGCCUUCCUAGUAGCUGGGACCACAGGCAUGCACCAUCAUGCCCAGCUAAUUUUUUUUAUUUUUUGUAGAGACAAGGGUCUCACUUUGUUGCCCAGGUUAGUCUCAAACUCCCAGGCUCAAGCGAUCCUCCUGUUUUGGCCUCCCAAAGCAUUGGGAUUACAGGCGUGAACCACAAUUCCUGGCCUACAGUUUUCUUCUUACGGGCUUUGUACAUUUCUUGGUAAGUUUAUUCCUAAGUAUGUUUUAUUGCCAUUGUAAAUGUAGUUAUCUCUGCCCUUAUAGCUUCUGAUUGUAAUUUGUAUGUGUGAAGGCUAUUUAUUUUUGUACAAUUGUCUUCAAAUUUUUAAUAUGUAUUUUAAAUUGCUUUGCCAAAGAUAUCAACACUUAAUCCCCAUUAGCAUUAUAGGAAAAUUUAUUAUCUUACUGGACCUUUUCAUUUUUGAAGCAGAUUAAUUUGGAAACUUUUACAAAUUGAUGAGCAAAAUUAUUUGUUUCCAUUUGAAUUGAUUUAAUAACUGAAAAAGUUAUUUUUCAUGUUUUUAUCACUUAUAAACCUUGUAUAAAUUAUCUUUAAUUUCUCUUUUCCGCUUUUCUGUUUCAGCCUCCUGGUAUUUUUAAGGAAAUGUAAGAGUGUGAAUCAGGUACUGAUGGUUUUGACUUCAUUAUGAUCAGCAUCUUUGAGUUCCAUCAGAGUAGACACUGAACGUUUUCAUCCAACUGGAUGAUGAGUGCAUUAGAACUACAUAAGAGAUGAAAUCCUUUCUCCCUGGGACAUAAAAAUAAUCAACAUCUUCACAACAACGGCUGUUCCUCUAGAGCCUCCCAUGAGACCGGAACCAUCACAACUGCACUGCUGCUUAUGAUUUGCUUCGUUGUAUUUAAUGUGAACAACUCGUGCCACAGCAUUUACCUAAGUAUGGUGAAGAAAAGGGAUCAGUUGUGGACCGUCUCAGACUUGAUUUCCUCAUGUUACCCCAUUUUUUGGUCCAUUUUUGCUCAUUGGUAGAGAAAGUCAUAUCCUGAAUUCAAAAUCUAUGAAGUGGAGAAAGUCGUCUUAUCCCAUAGAUAUGUCAAAGUAAACUUUCACCAAUAUAAACUUCUUCCAAAACAACAUUCUAUAAAGAGUUGGUAUUCUGAAGAAAUGAUGGGAUUUAGGUCUGAAAAAUGAGAUAUUUCUCAGUUCACUGCAUGAAAUAUAAUCUAAUGACCUUUACCUUCAGUAAAGACAAUAUUGCAUAGCUUAGUAUUUAAUGUUUGUAUACAUAGAUAU
Gorilla gorilla gorilla (western lowland gorilla) is the source of this 1628-nucleotide long non-coding RNA. RefSeq lists it as uncharacterized. The record is from RefSeq and is a predicted model, not a curated record. Lineage: Eukaryota; Metazoa; Chordata; Mammalia; Primates; Hominidae. The transcript has 3 exons.